AGCCUGAUGCAGCGACGCCGCGUGAGGGAUGACGGCCUUCGGGUUGUAAACCUCUUUCAAUAGGGACGAAGCGCAAGUGACGGUACCUAUAGAAGAAGCACCGGCCAACUACGUGCCAGCAGCCGCGGUAAUACGUAGGGUGCGAGCGUUGUCCGGAAUUACUGGGCGUAAAGAGCUCGUAGGUGGUUUGUCGCGUUGUUCGUGAAAACUCACAGCUCAACUGUGGGCGUGCGGGCGAUACGGGCAGACUGGAGUACUGCAGGGGAGACUGGAAUUCCUGGUGUAGCGGUGGAAUGCGCAGAUAUCAGGAGGAACACCGGUGGCGAAGGCGGGUCUCUGGGCAGUAACUGACGCUGAGGAGCGAAAGCGUGGGGAGCGAACAGGAUUAGAUACCCUGGUAGUCCACGCCGUAAACGGUGGGUACUAGGUGUGGGUUUCCUUCCUUGGGAUCCGUGCCGUAGCUAACGCAUUAAGUACCCCGCCUGGGGAGUACGGCCGCAAGGCUAAAACUCAAAGAAAUUGACGGGGGCCCGCACAAGCGGCGGAGCAUGUGGAUUAAUUCGAUGCAACGCGAAGAACCUUACCUGGGUUUGACAUGCACAGGACGCCGGCAGAGAUGUCGGUUCCCUUGUGG
Molecule: ribosomal RNA, 634 nt
Filed under: Mycobacterium sp. Se1Pw_3174
Lineage: Bacteria; Bacillati; Actinomycetota; Actinomycetes; Mycobacteriales; Mycobacteriaceae
Description: bacterial SSU rRNA
Rfam family: Bacterial small subunit ribosomal RNA
Source: RNAcentral